This is a long non-coding RNA of Gossypium arboreum, 439 nucleotides long. RefSeq lists it as uncharacterized. The transcript has 2 exons. NCBI's taxonomy places the organism in Eukaryota, Viridiplantae, Streptophyta, Magnoliopsida, Malvales, Malvaceae. The record is from RefSeq and is a predicted model, not a curated record.
CUCCAUUUCUUCAAUACCCUCACUCUUCGGCUAACCCUUAUUUAUAUUCUUGUGCUCAUCUUCCGCACUUCUUUUAUUGAUCCAAGCAGUGGACUCACUCAACUCAAAGCCCUGCGGCUGCACCUUGGCACAAUUUAAUGAGGAGUCCAGUAAGUGAGGGAGAUGAAUCGAUGAAGGCAAACAAGAAUGUGAUGGAAUCUAAGAAAUCCUGCAUAUGUUCUCCAACAAGCCACGCUGGUUCCUUCAGGUGUCACCUUCAUCGAGCCACUGCUGCUCCUACUUUGAGUCAAAACUCACCCAGUUGCUGCAUCGGCACACUGGCCAAUGCUGCUUUCAAGAAGUUAAAUUCCAAGCCACAGGAUGGUCAGGAGGAGCCUAUUCUGUCCAGGUUCGGUAGAGCUUCUUCGUCUUUAAAACUGAAACCCAUUUCAGAAACCAC